GGAGGUCCGAACCCACGAGCGUUGAAAAGCUCGGGGAUGACUUGUGGGUAGCGGUGAAAUUCCAAUCGAGCCCGGAGAUAGCUGGUUCUCCCCGAAAUAGCUUUAGGGCUAGCCUCAAGGUGAGAGAUACGGAGGUAGAGCACUGAAUGUCCUAGGGGGUAUUGCACCUACCGAAGACUAUCAAACUCCGAAUGCCGUCAUCUUAUACUUGGGAGUCAGACUGUGGGUGAUAAGAUUCAUAGUCGAAAGGGCAACAGCCCAGAUCGUCAGCUAAGGUCCCUAAAUGUAAGUUAAGUGGUAAAGGAUGUGGGAUUGCACAGACAACCAGGAUGUUGGCUUAGAAGCAGCCACUCAUUCAAAGAGUGCGUAAUAGCUCACGGGUCGAGUGAUCCUGCGCCGAAGAUUUCCGGGGCUAAAACUUACUACCGAAGCUACGGCAUCAGUAAUGAUGGGUAGGGGAGCUUCCCAUACGGGUUGAAGCAUGACCGUAAGGACAUGUGGACAGUAUGGGAGUGAGAAUGUUGGCAUGAGUAGCGAGAUGUGGGUGAGAAUCCCACAGGCCGUAAACCCAAGGUUUCCAGGGGAAGGUUCGUCCGCCCUGGGUUAGUCGGGACCUAAGCUGAGGCCGAAAGGCGUAGGUGAUGGACAACAGGUUGAUAUUCCUGUACUACCGAUAACCGUUUGAGAGA
This 689-nucleotide ribosomal RNA is filed under the name Clostridioides difficile. Its description in RNAcentral is "bacterial LSU rRNA". It matches the Rfam family "Bacterial large subunit ribosomal RNA", at positions 768 to 1465 of the family's 2925-position model. The record is from RNAcentral. Lineage: Bacteria; Bacillati; Bacillota; Clostridia; Peptostreptococcales; Peptostreptococcaceae.